GAUGAACGCUGGCGGCGUGCUUAACACAUGCAAGUCGAACGAAACACCUUAUUUGAUUUUCUUCGGAACUGAAGAUUUGGUGAUUGAGUGGCGGACGGGUGAGUAACGCGUGGGUAACCUGCCCUGUACAGGGGGGAUAACAGUUAGAAAUGACUGCUAAUACCGCAUAAGACCACAGCACCGCAUGGUGCAGGGGUAAAAACUCCGGUGGUACAGGAGGGACCCGCGUCUGAUUAGCUGGUUGGUGAGGUAACGGCUCACCAAGGCGACGAUCAGUAGCCGGCUUGAGAGAGUGAACGGCCACAUUGGGACUGAGACACGGCCCAAACUCCUACGGGAGGCAGCAGUGGGGAAUAUUGCACAAUGGGGGAAACCCUGAUGCAGCGACGCCGCGUGAGUGAAGAAGUAUCUCGGUAUGUAAAGCUCUAUCAGCAGGGAAGAAAAUGACGGUACCUGACUAAGAAGCCCCGGCUAACUACGUGCCAGCAGCCGCAGUAA
Molecule: ribosomal RNA, 498 nt
Filed under: uncultured bacterium
Lineage: Bacteria
Description: partial 16S ribosomal RNA
Rfam family: Bacterial small subunit ribosomal RNA
Source: RNAcentral